UACAGAGGGGGCUAGCGUUAUUCGGAAUUAUUGGGCGUAAAGGGCGCGUAGGCGGCCAUGCGUGUCUUCCGUGAAAUCCCUCGGCUUAACUGAGGACGUGCGGAAGAAACUGCAAGGCUCGAGUCCGGGAGAGGGGGGUGGAAUUCCCAGUGUAGCGGUGAAAUGCGUAGAUAUUGGGAGGAACACCGGUGGCGAAGGCGGGUCUCUGGGCCGAUACUGACGCUGAGGAGCGAAAGCGUGGGGAGCGAACAGG
This 253-nucleotide ribosomal RNA is filed under the name uncultured bacterium. Its description in RNAcentral is "partial 16S ribosomal RNA". It matches the Rfam family "Bacterial small subunit ribosomal RNA", at positions 524 to 776 of the family's 1533-position model. The record is from RNAcentral.